GCAAGUCGAGCGCUGAUUACAGGGUAGCAAUAUUCUGUGGUCGGAGCGGCGCAAGGGUGCGUAACACGUGGGCAAUCUGCCGUGAAGACCGGGACAACUUGCUGAAAGGCGAGCUAAUACCGGAUGUGAAAAUCGGGAGGCAUCUUCUGAUUUUCAAAGUUGGGGACCGUAAGGCCUGACGCUUCACGAUGAGCCCGCGGCCUAUCAGCUAGUUGGUGAGGUAACGGCCCACCAAGGCUAAGACGGGUAGCUGGUCUGAGAGGACGACCAGCCACACUGGAACUGAGACACGGUCCAGACACCUACGGGUGGCAGCAGUCGAGAAUUUUUCACAAUGGGCGCAAGCCUGAUGGAGCGACGCCGCGUGGGGGAUGAAUGGCUUCGGCCCGUAAACCCCUGUCAUUUGCGAUCAACCGUUAUUAUUUAAAAGAUGAUAACCUGAUAGUAGCGAAAGAGGAAGGGACGGCUAACUCUGUGCCAGCAGCCGUGGUAAUACAGAGGUCCCGAGCGUUGUUCGGAUUCACUGGGCGUAAAGGGUGCGUAGGUGGUAGGGUAAGUCGGAUGUGAAAUCUCGGAGCUCAACUCCGAAACUGCAUUGGAAACUACCCAACUUGAGGGUCGGAGGGGGGA
Molecule: ribosomal RNA, 630 nt
Filed under: uncultured Verrucomicrobiota bacterium
Lineage: Bacteria; Pseudomonadati; Verrucomicrobiota
Description: bacterial SSU rRNA
Rfam family: Bacterial small subunit ribosomal RNA
Source: RNAcentral